CCUACGGGGGGCAGCAGUGGGGAAUAUUGCGCAAUGGGCGAAAGCCUGAUGCAGCGACGCCGCGUGAGGGAUGAAGGUCCUCGGAUCGUAAACCUCUGUCAGCAGGGAAGAACAGUCACUGUGCUAAUCAGCAUUGAAUUUACGGUACCUGCAAAGGAAGCCCCGUCUAACUCCGUGCCAGCAGCUGCGGUAAUACGGAGGGUGCGUGCGUUAAUCGGAAUUACUGGGCGUAAAGCGCUCGUAGGCGGUAUGUCACGUCAAGGGUGAAAUCCCCGCGCUCAACGUGGGAACUGCCUUUGAAACUGGCAAACUGGAGUGUGUGAGAGGAUAGUGGAAGUCCAGGUGUAGGAGUGAAAUCCGUAGAUAUCUGGAGGAACAUCAGUGGCGAAGGCGACUAUCUGGCACAUAACUGACGCUGAGGAGCGAAAGCGUGGGUAGCAAACAGGAUUAGAUACCCUUGUAGUC
Molecule: ribosomal RNA, 465 nt
Filed under: uncultured bacterium
Lineage: Bacteria
Description: partial 16S ribosomal RNA
Rfam family: Bacterial small subunit ribosomal RNA
Source: RNAcentral